CAUAUUAUAGUUUAAUGCCAAAACCAUGAAUUGCAAAUUCAUAAAAGAAUAAAUCAUUCUAAUAUGU
Molecule: transfer RNA, 67 nt
Filed under: Rivularia ovum
Lineage: Eukaryota; Metazoa; Mollusca; Gastropoda; Architaenioglossa; Viviparidae
Description: tRNA-Cys
Rfam family: tRNA
About the family: Transfer RNA (tRNA) molecules are approximately 80 nucleotides in length. Their secondary structure includes four short double-helical elements and three loops (D, anti-codon, and T loops).
Source: RNAcentral